GCAGCGGAGCGUGUGGUUUAAUUCGUUGCUACACGAAGAACCUUACCUGGGUUUGACAUAUAGGUUGUAGGGAACUGAAAGGGACGACCCUUCGGGGAGCCUAUACAGGUGUUGCAUGGCUGUCGUCAGCUCGUGUCGUGAGAUGUUCGGUUAAGUCCGCUAACGAGCGCAACCCUCGUCGUAUGUUAUAUGUGUCAUACGAGACUGCCGGUAAAAAGCCGGAGGAAGGUGAGGAUGAUGUCAAGUCAGCAUGACCUUUAUAUCCAGGGCUACACACACGCUACAAUGGUCUGUACAAUGGGUAGCCAAGCCGCGAGGCGGAGCCAAUCCUGAAAGCAGGCCUCAGUUCAGAUUGCAGUCUGCAACUCGACUGCAUGAAGCCGGAGUUGCUAGUAACCGCAGGUCAGCAAUACUGCGGUGAAUACGUUCCCGGGUCUU
Molecule: ribosomal RNA, 438 nt
Filed under: uncultured Anaerolineaceae bacterium
Lineage: Bacteria; Bacillati; Chloroflexota; Anaerolineae; Anaerolineales; Anaerolineaceae
Description: bacterial SSU rRNA
Rfam family: Bacterial small subunit ribosomal RNA
Source: RNAcentral